RNAcentral lists this ribosomal RNA (924 nucleotides) under uncultured bacterium. RNAcentral's name for it is "bacterial SSU rRNA". It matches the Rfam family "Bacterial small subunit ribosomal RNA", at positions 9 to 930 of the family's 1533-position model. The record is from RNAcentral.
GAGUUUGCUCCUGGCUCAGAUUGAACGCUGGCGGUAUGCUUAACACAUGCAAGUCGAACGGUAACAGGCUUUCGGGCGCUGACGAGUGGCGGACGGGUGAGUAACGCGUAGGAAUCUGCCUCAUAGUGGGGGACAACGUGGGGAAACUCACGCUAAUACCGCAUACGCCCUACGGGGGAAAGGAGGGGAUCUUCGGACCUUUCGCUAUGAGAUGAGCCUGCGUUAGAUUAGCUAGUUGGUAGGGUAAAGGCCUACCAAGGCGACGAUCUAUAGCUGGUCUGAGAGGACGAUCAGCCACACUGGGACUGAGACACGGCCCAGACUCCUACGGGAGGCAGCAGUGGGGAAUAUUGGACAAUGGGCGAAAGCCUGAUCCAGCAAUACCGCGUGUGUGAAGAAGGCCUUAGGGUUGUAAAGCACUUUCAAUUGGGAGGAAAACCUAUCGAUCAAUACCCGGUAGCUUGACAUUACCUUUAGAAGAAGCACCGGCUAACUCCGUGCCAGCAGCCGCGGUAAUACGGAGGGUGCGAGCGUUAAUCGGAAUUACUGGGCGUAAAGCGUGCGUAGGCGGUUCGUUAAGUCAGAUGUGAAAGCCCUGGGCUCAACCUGGGAACUGCAUUUGAAACUGGCGGACUAGAGUUUAGUAGAGGGGAGUGGAAUUUCAGGUGUAGCGGUGAAAUGCGUAGAUAUCUGAAGGAACACCAGUGGCGAAGGCGACUCCCUGGACUAGAACUGACGCUGAGGUACGAAAGCGUGGGUAGCAAACAGGAUUAGAUACCCUGGUAGUCCACGCCGUAAACGAUGUCGACUAGCCGUUGGCCCUAUUUACAGGGUUAGUGGCGCAGCUAACGCAUUAAGUCGACCGCCUGGGGAGUACGGCCGCAAGGUUAAAACUCGAAUGAAUUGACGGGGGCUCGCACAAGC